UGCCCGAAGGGUGACGAAGCGACGCCGCGUGGGUGAGGAAGGCCUUCGGGUUGUAAAGCCCUGUCAGGAGUUAAGAAAUGUAGACUCGCUAAUAUCGGGUCUAUUUGACAAAGGCUCCAAAGGAAGCCACGGCUAACUCUGUGCCAGCAGCCGCGGUAAUACAGAGGUGGCAAGCGUUGUUCGGAAUUAUUGGGCGUAAAGAGCACGUAGGUGGAUUUGUAAGUCAGACGUGAAAGCCUUCUGUUCAACGGAAGAAUUGCAUCUGAAACUACAAACCUUGAGUGUAGGAGGGGAGAAUGGAACUUCUGGUGGAGCGGUGAAAUGCGUAGAUAUCAGAAGGAACGCCGGCGGCGAAAGCGAUUCUCUGGCCUAUUACUGACACUCAGUGUGCGAAAGCUAGGGGAGCAAACGGGAUUAGAUACCCCGGUAGUCCUAGCCGUAAACGAUGGGCACUAAGUAGAGGGG
Molecule: ribosomal RNA, 465 nt
Filed under: uncultured Planctomycetota bacterium
Lineage: Bacteria; Pseudomonadati; Planctomycetota
Description: bacterial SSU rRNA
Rfam family: Bacterial small subunit ribosomal RNA
Source: RNAcentral